GGAGAGGUGGCUGAGUGGUUGAAAGCGGCUCCCUGCUAAGGAGUUAUGAGGGUUAAACUUCAUCGAGGGUUCGAAUCCCUCCCUCUCCG
Molecule: transfer RNA, 89 nt
Filed under: Spirulina sp.
Lineage: Bacteria; Bacillati; Cyanobacteriota; Cyanophyceae; Spirulinales; Spirulinaceae
Also listed under: 1 other name
Description: tRNA-Ser
Rfam family: tRNA
About the family: Transfer RNA (tRNA) molecules are approximately 80 nucleotides in length. Their secondary structure includes four short double-helical elements and three loops (D, anti-codon, and T loops). Further hydrogen bonds mediate the characteristic L-shaped molecular structure. tRNAs have two regions of fundamental functional importance: the anti-codon, which is responsible for specific mRNA codon recognition, and the 3' end, to which the tRNAs corresponding amino acid is attached (by aminoacyl-tRNA synthetases). tRNAs cope with the degeneracy of the genetic code in two manners: having more than one tRNA (with a specific anti-codon) for a particular amino acid; and 'wobble' base-pairing, i.e. permitting non-standard base-pairing at the 3rd anti-codon position.
Source: RNAcentral